Molecule: ribosomal RNA, 475 nt
Filed under: uncultured bacterium
Lineage: Bacteria
Description: bacterial SSU rRNA
Rfam family: Bacterial small subunit ribosomal RNA
Source: RNAcentral
CCUACGGGAGGCAGCAGUGGGGAAUCUUGCACAAUGGAGGAAACUCUGAUGCAGCGAUGCCGCGUGAGUGAAGAAGGCCCUUGGGUUGUAAAGCUCUUUCGUCGGGGAAGAAAAUGACUGUACCCGAAUAAGAAGGUCCGGCUAACUUCGUGCCAGCAGCCGCGGUAAUACGAAGGGACCUAGCGUAGUUCGGAAUUACUGGGCUUAAAGAGUUCGUAGGUGGUUGAAAAAGUUAGUGGUGAAAUCCCAGAGCUUAACUCUGGAACUGCCAUUAAAACUUUUCAGCUAGAGUAUGAUAGAGGAAAGCAGAAUUUCUAGUGUAGAGGUGAAAUUCGUAGAUAUUAGAAAGAAUACCAAUUGCGAAGGCAGCUUUCUGGAUCAUUACUGACACUGAGGAACGAAAGCAUGGGUAGCGAAGAGGAUUAGAUACCCUCGUAGUCCAUGCCGUAAACGAUGUGUGUUAGACGUUGGAAAU